NNNNNNNNNNNNUGGGGCAAUUGAACGCCCUGCGGAUGUUUUGCAUCCGGAGAUAUGGGAAAAAUGCACAGCCGCGCUGGCCGAGGACACGAAAUCCUCAGGCAGCGGCAAAUGCCUUAAGGCGUGGGGAAAAGUAGAGAAAGCCCUGCGCAGAGCAAUAGAAGAGCAGGAGACAUGGAGCGCAGCGCGUACGUGUUUAUUGGUUACACCCAAGCUAGGGGUAGGAGCGGCAACGCAAACUACCCCUGAGGGUGACCCACCCGGGAGCGGGGAUCCGGGGGGGCUCGGCGCGUCGCCCCCCUCCCCGGGCCGGGGCCCGGGGCCCCCCACGGAAACCUCCCAAAAAUCUGCGGCUUCCCCACCCACCCCGCCACCGCCGGUCGGUGACCCGGUACCGGAGGUGCAGCGGCGCGCAGAGUUCUGUUGGCGGGGACUGGCGGGGGAAGCCAGAGCCGCGGGAGCCGCGGCUCGGGAGGGGAUGCUGCCCACGCCGCCUCCAUACGCCUUUGAAAAUGGCGCCGGCAGCCAAGGGGAGGGGCAGGGCGUGGGCAGUCUCGGCGCGAAGAGCCCAGAGGCGCGGAGUUUCGCUAAUGCGCGUGUGCGGGACAAAGAGGAGGAGAGCGGCAGAGGGCUCGGAGCCAAUCGGCAGCCGCGCCUGACGCUGCCACCAUAUAAGGGAGAAACCCACCCCUGCAGGAGGCAGGGCGAGCCCGGGGGGCGGCAGCGGCGCCACCCCCGGGGGGAGGAGCGGGGUCGGAGCCGCACAAAACGGCACCGAGCCCCGGAAGUGCGCUGGCAUUCGACUUCCGACUCGGAGUCCGGCAGCAGCUCCGGCAGCUCGGAAGAGCUGCCGGGAGCCGGCUGGGACUCUGAAACGAAGAGAAUAGAGCCAAUGCAAUUUAAAACAAAACCAAGUAAAGCUUUAAGCCGCACCGAAAAGCAGCCACAAUACAAACCAGCCCAGUUUACCGACUGGGGAGAAAUAAAAAUAGCCUGCGCUGAGCUGUCCCCAGCUGGCACGGCAGCCCGCCGCGGCGCCUCCACCCCAAGCACGCCCGAGAGGAGCCUGUUUGGGGCUGCGGGAGGAAGGGGCAUCUGGCCAAAGAAUGCAGGUCCCAGACCCAGGGAAACGGGAGAGGGAGGGGGCAUGCGGGCUGCACCCAGCCUCCUCCCGCUGCAAAUGCAAGGCAGCCCAUCUAUGCCAACCCCCAGUGAGACGGGGUGGCCUUAUACCCCAUACCCCCACAGGAGGCAGCCAGCUUCAUACCCUCACCAGCGAAUUUCGCAACACAGCCUGCGGUACCUUCGUACCCACUACCGCCGCAAGCAGCGCCUGUGCCGCAGAGUCAGCAGGGGACGCCCCAGAACGAGACCCCUGAGUGGCCCUGGCCAUGAAAAUAGGGAAGGAGCCACCGAAGGUGUGGGGGACGUGCCGCCUUUAUGGCAGUCAGGACCCCCAUGUCAUAGGGCUUCAGUUUUGGGCAGACACAGGAGCAGACUGCUCGAUUUUUCCCCAAGCACUGUGGCCCCGACAUUGGCAAUGCAAAGAAGUCCCCCCAGUGAACGGAGUGGGAGGGCCGUCCCGAGCUUGGAAAAGCACCCAAUUAGUAGCCAUAACGCUUCAUACAAAAAAGGGACCAGAACAAACAGUAGCAAUCCACCCCUACAUUUUGCAAAACUCUCCACCCCUGAUAGGAAGGGACAUCCUUGCUAUGUUAGGAGUCAGGAUUACAAAUUUAUAAUAAGGGCCACUGCCGUACACCCACUGCUGCCAACCAAACUGACUUGGAAAUCACCAGACCCCGUAUGGGUCGAGCAGUGGCCCCUGUCAAAGCCUCGAAUGGCAGCCUUGCUGGAACUGGUCGACCUCGAGCUGCAAAAGGGUCACAUAGAACCCUCCACCAGCCCGUGGAACACCCCUGUGUUUAUAUACUAGAAGCUACCUUUCUAACCCUAAACGAAACCAAACCAAACCUGACUAACUCCUGUUGGCUUUGUUAUGAUGUUAAACCCCCUUUCUACGAAAGCAUUGCUUUAAACACCCCCUUCAGUUACUCCACAGCCAGUGCCCCCCACCAGUGCAGAUGGGACACUCCCCGCAGAGGAAUCACCCUGAGUCAAAUCACAGG
RNAcentral lists this long non-coding RNA (2129 nucleotides) under Lonchura striata (white-rumped munia). Its description in RNAcentral is "domestica (Bengalese finch) lncRNA (ENSLSDG00000009706.1)". Lineage: Eukaryota; Metazoa; Chordata; Aves; Passeriformes; Estrildidae. The record is from RNAcentral.